UAACGCUUGGCUACAGCCAGUGCUCUUUCACACUGUCAUGGGGCUGCACUCUGGGCCCUGCAUGGGCAUCUCCCACUGGAAGACUCUCAUCUGACACUACAUGGGGAAAACAGCUGGAAGCUAAGGAGAGACAAAAGGAGGCAGUGAAGAUGCCAAGCUGACUGACAUUCAGCCCACGCAUGGGGCACAGUGAGACGAGCCACAAAUGAAUUAGUGCAACAGAGCGGGGAGUUUGGAGGGAAGUGACACUGGAGACAGCACCUACACCCUGCUCUGUGGAUUUGCAGAAAUUUGCACAGAACAUGGAGAGAGAAAGGUUUGACCUCAUCUUCUCUAGAUCCAACGGGGCAGGCAGAUGGCAGCUAGGGAUGCUAACCAUGAUGGAUUUGCUAACGCAUCUUCCUUCAACUUUAGAGUUGCAUACAUUUACCCACAUUUCCAGCUGAUGAAACUGCCCUAAUUUCUGAAUUGGUACAGUAAGCAGCACUUACAAUAUUCUUAUUUUUUGAGAUGGAGUCUUGCUCUGUCGCCCAGGCUGAAGUGCAACGGCACGAUCUCGGCUCACUGCAAUCUC
RNAcentral lists this long non-coding RNA (574 nucleotides) under Pan troglodytes (chimpanzee). RNAcentral describes it as "long non-coding RNA NONPTRT010274". Lineage: Eukaryota; Metazoa; Chordata; Mammalia; Primates; Hominidae. The record is from RNAcentral.